Molecule: long non-coding RNA, 347 nt
Filed under: Cicer arietinum (chickpea)
Lineage: Eukaryota; Viridiplantae; Streptophyta; Magnoliopsida; Fabales; Fabaceae
Description: long non-coding RNA (CARI_LNC000348)
Source: RNAcentral
CUCUAUGAAAUCAGUUGGUUUAAGAGGAGAUCUAGUGUUAUUGGUCGAGGUGUUGGGGGUGGGAGUUUCAAAAACGGUGGUGGGAUUAGUAAAGGUGGUAGCUUUGCAACUACGCACAAUGGCUGAUAGAUCCCAACCAUCAUUGUCCAUUGGAGAAAGGAUUGAUUUUUUAGUAUAUCUAAAAAUUAAUUCACUCAAAAUCACAACUAUUACUUUUUAAACAAUCAAAGGAUGUAUUAAAAUAAUAAAAUUAUAAACACAAGACGUAAUAAUAUAAAAAUAUAAAAAAUUAACAAAACUCAAAAUUCUAAGGAAAUAAUAAAACUAGAUGUUAUGAUGUUGAGAGA